Solanum dulcamara is the source of this 13380-nucleotide long non-coding RNA. RefSeq lists it as uncharacterized. The record is from RefSeq and is a predicted model, not a curated record. Lineage: Eukaryota; Viridiplantae; Streptophyta; Magnoliopsida; Solanales; Solanaceae. The transcript has 4 exons.
AGCCAAUUUGUUCCAUCCCGGUUUGUUCUGUGAUUUGGUGUUCUUUCGUUGACAUAUGCAGUGUUUGAUUGUUGAUAUGGUUAAUUAUUGAGCCUUAUUGUUAUUGUUUUUCAUCUGGGUAAUUAUUGUUGAUCUGGGUAAUUGUUGUUGAUCAAGUGCUGGGUAAUUAUUGUUGAUUAGGAUAAUGGGUAAUAUUGUGUGAUCAAGAAUAUUGGUGAUUACUGUUGAUGAAGAUAUGGGUAAUUAUUGUAUAUGAUUCUCUUUGGGGAGCGAUCGGUUGGGUUUUUGAUUUCUUGGCCGUCUCAGAAUUAUAUAAAUCUCUCGUUAUGUACUUUCGAAUUUGAGGAGUUAACAUUUUUAGUUUGCAAUUACUUGUGUUUUUUUUCUAAUUUAUUGAUUCGUUAUUGUUGUUUGUUUGAUCAGGUAUGGGUAAUGAUGAUAGGAGAAUGAUUCUCCUUCUACGCUUGCUGUUACCUUGUUAAUUCUGAGGUUUUUGUUGUGAGAAUUCGUGUGUUGGUGUACCUUGUUUUGUUGAAUUAGAAUACGAGUAGAAUUGGAAAUUUGGAUCAAUCAGUUUGGAUUUUGAUAUCUUGACUUCCAUCUUUAAUGUUAGUUUUGAUGCUAAUCAUGUGUCUCCUCGCAUAAGCUUCUUUUACCUUGUUAUUUGCUUUGGGCAUCUACAGGAACAAGUGUCUUGCUUUGGUGUUUGUGGUCCGGGAAGAUGCAGCUGUUACCAGGUCUGUGACUAUAGCCUAUAGGUAUUGGAUUUUUCAGUCUCUCAAAGCUUUGUUCAGAACUGGUUCGAUAUGGAAGUUCUCAAUUAUGGAUAUUUCUCUUCCAUAGUUGUGUAUAGUGUGUUCUACUGCCAGUUUUAGUUGUUAGUUCAAAUGCUCGUGUUCUUUGAUGAUCCUGGUAUCUUUUAUCGUAUUAUGGAGCACCGGAUAAAGUCAAAAGUCAAUUCUGGAUCUUUAAUAGUGCUGUAAAGUUAUCACUCCAGCUUGAUUUUGUUAAUUGGUGAAUGAAUGUGUAGACCACAUGGUGACAGUAAUAGAGGAUUGGUUUUGGGAACUUCAACGACUUGUAUCCUGUAUGCAUUCCUGUGCACCUUGUUUCUUGGUCUUUUUGGUGCUUGCAUUCCAAGAUGGAUAUUUUUAGGCUUCGACCAAAAUGGGGGUUCUCAAUCUUGUCUCUUGCAUCUCUAGUGAUUUCUUGGGUGAUAUGGGUUUUGUCAGCUUUGCACUUAACUGUUCCCUUCUUUUUGUGCUAGCAGUUGGGUCUUGCAGAGCAGUGAAUUAUUCUUUUCAUGGAGGGGCUUUGUUUGGCCAUUUGUGUUGAGGUUACUCAUUUGAGUUUUCUUCUCCAAUCAGAGUGGUCCUCCUCUCUUUGUCAAAAAUUGUUGCUGUAUGGACUUGCCAGCUAAAAUAGUUUUUCUUGCACUCGCGUGUGUUGUGUUCUGCUGCCGUUUUCCCUUAGUUAUCGCGCCAGCUUGAUUUUGUUAAUUGGUGAAUGAAUGUGUAGACCACAUGGUGACAGUAAUAGAGGAUUAGUUUUGGGAACUUCAACGGCUUGAAUCAGGUAUGCAUUCCUGUGCACCUUGUUUUUCCUUGGUCUUUUUGGUGCUUGCACUCCCAAGAUGGAUAUUGUUAGGCUUUGACCAAAAUGGGGGUUCUCAAUCUUGUCUCUUGCAUCUCUAGUGAUUUCUCAGGUGAUAUGGGUUUUGUCAGCUUUGCACUUAACUGUGCCCUUCUUUUUGUGCUAGCAGUUGGGUCUUACAGAGCAGUGAAUUAUUCUUUUCAUGGAGGGACUUUGUUUGGCCGUUUGUGUUUGGCCAUUUGUGUUGAGGUUCCUCAUUUGAGUUUUCUUCCCCAAUCAGUGUGGUCCCUCCUCUUUGUCAAAAUUGCUGCUGUAUGAAACUUACCACUAAAAAUAGUUUUUCUUGCACUCGCGUGUGUUGUGUUCUGCUGCCGUUUUCCCUUAGUUAUCGCGCCAGCUUGAUUUUGUUAAUUGGUGAAUGAAUGUGUAGACCACAUGGUGACAGUAAUAGAGGAUUAGUUUUGGGAACUUCAACGGCUUGAAUCAGGUAUGCAUUCCUGUGCACCUUGUUUUUCCUUGGUCUUUUUGGUGCUUGCACUCCCAAGAUGGAUAUUGUUAGGCUUUGACCAAAAUGGGGGUUCUCAAUCUUGUCUCUUGCAUCUCUAGUGAUUUCUCAGGUGAUAUGGGUUUUGUCAGCUUUGCACUUAACUGUGCCCUUCUUUUUGUGCUAGCAGUUGGGUCUUACAGAGCAGUGAAUUAUUCUUUUCAUGGAGGGACUUUGUUUGGCCGUUUGUGUUUGGCCAUUUGUGUUGAGGUUCCUCAUUUGAGUUUUCUUCCCCAAUCAGUGUGGUCCCUCCUCUUUGUCAAAAUUGCUGCUGUAUGAAACUUACCACUAAAAAUAGUUUUUCUUGCACUCGCGUGUGUUGUAUUCUGCUCUACCGUUUUCCCUUGGUUAUAAUGCCAGCUUGAUUUUGUUAAUUGGUGAAUGAAUGUGUAGACCACAUGGUGACACUAAUAGAGGAUUAGUUUUGGAAACUUCAACUGCUUGUAUCGAGUAUGCAUUCCUGGGCACCUUGUUUUUUCUUGGUCUUUUUGGUGCUUGCUCAUCUCCAAGAUGGAUAUUGUUAGGCUUCGACCAAAAUGGGGGUUCUCAAUCUUGUCUCUUGCAUCUCUAGUGAUUUCUUAGGUGAAUGGUGAUACGGGUUUUGUCAGCUUUGCUUUUUUAACUGUUCCCUUCUUUUUGUGCUUGCAGUUGGGUGUUAUAGAGCAGUGAAUUGUUCUUUUCUUGGAGGGGCUUUGUUUGGCCAUGUGUUGAGGUUUCUUUAGUACAGGUUUUAAUUGAGUACUAAGAUUCUCAUUUCAGUUCUCUUCCCCGGGCUGUCCCUUUUCAGUCCAGAUGUGUAUGUUCUUUGAUGAUCCAACUGAUGAGAUUCCUGGUGGUUGUUGAUAGGUAUAUCCUGAUAAAUACUCGAAACUCAAUCCUGGAUCUCUUGACAGCCCCGUCAAGUGGGUCCCUGUUAGACCCUCUCUUCUGAAAGUUAAGAGGAUUAGAUUUGGAAAAUUUCGAAGGUUGAUGCCCAGUGUCCGCUCCUGUGCACCCUGGUUCCUUGCCAUUUUUGUGCUUGCACUGCAAUUUUGUGCUUGCACUGUGAUCUGAAUAUUAUCAGUCUUCGAUCCCCAAUCUUGUUUCUUUGCCCUUUUUGUGCUUGCAUUGCAAUCUGAAUAUUAUCAGGGUUCGAGACUGGGUUUUUUCAAUCUUGUCUGUGGCAUUUUCCAGUGGGUUUCGUCAGCUUUGCAUGUAACACUUCCCUUCAUUCCUUUGCUUGCAGCCAUUGGGUAUUCCAAAGCAGUGAAUUAUUCUUUUCAUGGAGUGACCUCAUUUGUCAGUAUGUGUUGAGGUUUUGUUAGUUCAGUCUUUUACGAGUAUAGAUAAUUUUCAAUUCAGUUUUCUUCCCUAAUGACUCCUUUGUCUUUGUCAACUACUGUUGUACGGAAGUUUCUCAAUUAGGACAUUAUUUUCACCAAUGCGUGUUGUAUUCUGCUGCCAUGAAGUUCUUGGUUCAGACGCUUAUGUUCUUUGAUGAUCCAAUUGAUGAGGUCUCUUACUCUCUUAUGGCUAUGGAUACCUGAUAAGUACUUGACCAAUUAUAGAUCUUUUGAUUGUGGCGUAAAAUACUUCUUUACUUUUGUUCUUUUAGCUAGUUAUCUUCUCUGCUUCCAUUUUUUUCGUUAUCACACUGGUUUUUUUUGGUUGUAUGGAUGUGUAGACCAUGUGGUGACAUUGUUAUGGACGUUCAGAUUUGGAAAUUUCAAAGCUUGGUUAACCAACAUGUGAUCCUUUGCCACCUUUUGGUCUUUUGGUGCUUGCACUGCAAUCCCGAAUCUGGGCUUUGUCAAAAGGGGGUUUUCAGUUUCAUCUAUGGCAUCUCUAGUGGUUUGGGGUUCUUCAGAUUUUCUCUCGACUGUUCCCUUCUUUCUGUUCUUGCAGCCAUUGGUUACAGGGCAGUGAAUUAUUCUUUUCAUGGAGCGGCCAUGUUGUCCGUUUGUGUUGAGGUUUCUUUCUUUAAUUAGUAUCGACAUUUUCGAUUCAGUUUUCUUCCCUAAUGGCUCCUUUGUCUUUGUCAAAACUACUGUUGUAUGGAAGUUUCUCAACUAGGACAUUAUUUUUCACCGGUGUGUGUUGUAUUCUGUUGCCAUGAAGCUUUUAGUCCAGACGCUUGUGUUCUUCGAUGAUCCAAUUGAUGAGGUCUCCUAUGGCUAUGGACACUUGAUAAGUACUCGGCCUAUUCUGGAUCUUUUCUUUUGAAGCGCCAUAAAGUCCUCUGCUUCUGGUCUUCUAGCUACAUAUAUUUUUUGCUGCCAUCUUCUUUGGGUAAUCAGAACUUUUUUUUUUGUUUGGAUAAAUGUGUAGACUAUAUGGUGACAAGGUUAAGAUAUGGAGAUUUCAAAGGUUGAUAUCCAGUAUGGUAUCUCUGUACCCCUCUUGGUCCUUUUGAUUCUUGCACUGCAAUCUGGAUAUAUUGGUCGAGGCUUCAACAAAAGGGUUUUUAAAUCUUGUCUAUAUGGCAUCUCUAGUGAUUUUUUAGGUAUGGGUUUCUUCAGCUUUGGACUUUGGUUGUACCCUUCUUUUUGUGGUUGCAGCCAUUGGGUCUUACAGAGUAAUGAAUUAUUCUUUUCAUGGAGCAGCUUUCUUUGUCCAUUUAUAACGAGGUUUCCAUUGUUCAGGCUUCUAUGAGUUCUGACAUUUUCAACUAAAAUAGUUUUUUUUUUCAAUAGUAUGUGUUGUGUUCUACUGGCAUUUUUAGUGUUCAGUCCAGAUGCUUAUUUUCUUCAUUGAUCCAAUGAUGAGAUUCUUGAUGGUUGAUGGUUAUGGUCUCAUGGACACCCGACAAGUACUCAAUGUUGGAUCUUUUGAAAGCCUCGUAAAAUGGUCCUAUCUUUUGGUGUUCUCGCUGCUCAUCUUCUCUGCUUCCUAUUUCAUGUACUACACUAGCUUAAUUUUGUUUGUUGGAUGGAUGUAUGGUGACAGUUGAGAGGAAUGAGACUUGGAAGAUUUUGAAGUUUGGUGUCCAGUGUGCAUUCCUGUGCACCCUGUUUCUUGAUUAUUGGUGCUUGCUCUACAAUCUGGAGAUUAUCAGGCUUUGAAAGAAGGCGGUUCUCAAUCUUGUCUAGCAUUUGUAGUGAAUUCCUAGGUGGUACGAGCUUCACCAGCUUUGCACUUACUUUUCCGUUCUUUCUGUGCUUGCAGCCGCUGGAUCUUACAGAGAUAGAUUCUUCUUCUCAUGGAGCGACCUGGUCUGUCAAUUUUGUGUUGAGGUUUCUUGGUUGAUGCUUCUAAUGAUUAUUGAGAUCAUUCAGUUUUCUUCCCUAAUCAGAAUGGUUCCCUUCUCCCUUGUCAACACUGCUUCAGUAGUGUGUAUUUUAUUGCCAUAUUUGUUUUAUAUUAAUCCAGAUGCUUAUGUUCUUUGGUGAUCCAAUUGAUGGAGAUCUCCAUGGUCAUAGACAACACAUGAUAAGUGUAUUCAAACUCAGUCGUGGAUCUUUUGAUGGCUCUGUAACACACUCCUCUACUUUUCAUGUUCUACCUUACAUUCUCUGAUUUCAUCAAGCCUACCAGUUGAUUUAGUUUGGUUGGAUGAAUUUUUUUAGGCCACAUGGUGGUAGUAGGAGGAUAAGAUUUGGAAAUUGUAUACUUUGGUUUUGGUCUGCAUCCCUGUGGACCAUGUUUCUUGCCAUUUUGGUGCUUGCACUGCAAUUUGGAUAUUGGAUAUCACCAGGCACAGGCAGCUUUGCAAUCCUAUCUUGUUUGACAUCUCUAGUGAUCUCUCCUGCAUAGUAUGGUUUUCCACUUACCUGUUACGUUCUUUUUGUGCAUGUAACCGUUGGGUUUUUCCAGAGCAUGAACUUCAAUUCUGUUUUCUUCCUAAUCAGCGGGUCCCUUUUCUCUUUGUCAAAACUACUGCUGUGUGGAAGUUCUCAACAAUGAUAAUAUUUUCCACUAGAGUGUGCUGUACUCUGCAGCCAUGCAGGUUUUAGUAUAGAUGCUUAUUUUCUUGGAUAAUCCAAAUGAUGAGAUCCCUGAUUGUUGUGGACACCUGAGAAGUACCCAAACUCAAUUUUAGAUCUUCUUAUGGCCCCGAGAGUCCUCUACUUUGGUGUUCUUGCUACUUAUCUUCUCUGCUUCUAUUUUCUUAUGUUUGUGAUGCCACUUGGUUUUGUUUGUUUGGAUGCAUGUUUGAAGACCGCAUGAUGACCGUGAGGGGAUCGUUUGGUAAUUUUGAAGUUUGGUUUCAGUAUGUGUCUUCCCUUGUGCAUUUUCAGCCUUAUGACAUAGAGUUGAAGGAAUCUCUAUGACAUGGGAAGAAAAUUGAUGAGUUCUCUUAUGGGGGUGGGCAUCUGGUAAGUACUCGCUCAGUUCUGGAGAUCUCUCCUCUGUUUUUUUUUCUUCGAAACAUGUGUAUUAUGUUCAGAUAUUAAAUCAUUUGACAAGUUGCUCCAGACUGUUAGCUAUUAUGUAACUUUAAUGUGAGCUCCUGCACACUUUUUUUCUCCAUAAAACAUUGCCAUUUGAACAGUCUUUGCACCAAAGAGAGCAAUUCGUUGAAUCUAGAACAGAUCAAGUAAAAUACUUGGCUCAUCUUUUUAUGCAACAGUGCACUCAUUAUGUAUUUAUAUCACAAAGGUAAUUAUUUUUUUCUGGGUAAAAGAUCUUCUCAUGAGCUACCCUUUUAAAUCCAUUACAUAUCAUAUCAUUGUGCAAGCUGGGAAGUAUUUCAAUGAAUCUUGUUCUUCUAAAUAGCUUUCUACUAAUUUGCUUAAUACGGUUGAACUUGCCAUUGAUUGUAGGUAACUGUUGUUCUGUCAUUCUCUGUGUUCUUGCUAUAUUGUCGAUGUAUGUUCAGUCAAAUGUCACUUCACAGAUGGUAUGUUUCCUAAAAUGUUACCGAUGCAUGUUUGGCCUUUCCUAAAUCCAUGUGAAUUCCUCUUCGUAGUUUUUCAUUUCACCAGGCCCGUUUAGUCAAAUGUCACUUCACAGAUGGUAUGUUUCCUAAAAUUAGAAGACGAGGGAAGAAGAGAAUAGACACAGAGAGAGAGAGAGAGAGAGAGAGGAAUUUCUGAUAAUUUUCUAUAUUGAUAUUGGUCAUUGAUAGUACUAACGAAUAUAAGUAAAUGACAGAUGCAAUCAUAAGAUGACACCUGUCUCCUCUACUAACAGAAUUUAAGACUAAAAUGGCAAUUAAAGCCAGCUGACUUCAAGGACUGAAAAGAAAUUACUAAAUGCGACUAAUUAAAACUUAAGGGACUGAAACAAUUUAUUGAGAACUUAAAUUAAGCUAAGUCACAAAUAGACAUUUGUGACACUCCAUCCUCCUUGAAAUCAGCCUUGCCUUCAGGAAUCUUUAAACUCAGGGAUCCGACUAUGAUUUCAGGCAUUCAGGUUCUUAUGAGUUCUCAUAUUUGUCCAUAUGUGUUGAGGUUCCAUUAGUUCAGUCUUUUACGAGUAUAGAUAAUUUUCAAUUCAGUUUUCUUCCCUAAUGAUUCCUUUGUCUUUAACUAUUGUUGUAUGGAAGUUUCUCAAUUAGGACAUUAUUUUCACCAAUGUGUUGUAUUCUGCUUCCAUGAAGUUGUUAGUCCAGACGCUUAGUUCUUUGAUGAUCCAAUUGAUGAGGUCUCUUAUUCUCUUAUAGUGGCGUAAAAUACUUCUUAGAUUUGGAAAUUUCAAAGCUUGGUUAACCGCCAUGUGAUCCUUUACCACCUUUUGGUCUCUUUGGUACCUUGGACUGCAAUCUGGAUAUUGUCCGACAAAAGGGGGUUUUCAAUCUUGUCUAUGGCAUCUCUAGUGAUUACUUAAGUGGUUUGGGGUUCAUGAGAUUUGCUCUUAACUGUUCCCUUCUUUCUGUUCUUGCAGCCAUCAGUUACAGGGCAGUGCUUUAACGGAGCGGCUGUGUUUGUCCGUUUGUGUUCAAGUUUCUUCUUUUAUGAGUACCGAUAUUUUAGAUUCAGUUUUCUUCCAUAACGGCUCCUUUGUCUUUGUCAUAACUACUGUUGUAUGGAAGUUUCUUAACUAGGACAUUACUUUUCACCGGUGUGUGGUAUUCUGCUGCCAUGAAGUUUUUAGUCCAGACGCUUAUGUUCUUCGAUGAUCCAAUUGAUGAGGUCUCCUAUGGCUAUGGACACUUCAUAGGUACUCAGCCAAUUCUAGAUCAUUUGAUAGUGGAGUAAAAUACUUGUUUACUUUUGUUCUUCUAGUUACUCAUCUUCUCUGCUUCCAUAUAUUUUUCGUUAUCACACUAGUGUUUUUUGGUUUGAUGGAUGUUUAGACCAUCUGGUGACACUGUUAUGGGCGUUCAGAUUUGGAAAUUUUAAAGCUUGAUUAACCAGCAUGUGAUCCUCUUCCACCUUUUGGUCUUUUUGGUGCUUGCACUGCAAUCUGGAUAUUGUCGGGGCUUUGACGAAAGGGGGUUUUCAGUCUUGUCUAUGGCAUCUCUAGUGAUUACCUAGGUGGUUUGGGUUUCGUCAGAUUUGCACUUAAAUGUUCUCUUCUUUCUGUUCUUGCAGCCAUUGGUAACAGGUAUUGAAUUAUUGAGCGGCCGUGUAUGUCCAUUAGUGUUGAGGUUUCUUUAGUUUAAGUUUUUUAUGAGUAUCGAGAUUUUCGAUUCGGUUUUCUUCUCUUAUGGCUCCGUUUCCUUUAUAAAAACUAGUGUUAUAUGGAAGUUUCUCGACUAAGAUAAUAUUUUACACCAGUGUGUGUGGUGUUCUGCUGCCGUGAAGUUUUUAAUCCAGACGUUUUUCGAUGGUCCAAUUGAUGAGGUCUCCUAUGGCUAUGGACACUUGAUAAGUACUCGGCCUAUUCUGGAUCUUUUCUUUUGAAGCGCCAUAAAGUCCUCUACUUCUGGUCUUCUAGCUACAUAUGUUUUUUGCUGUCAUCUUCUUUGGGUAAUCAGAACUUUUUUUUUUGUUUGGAUAAAUGUGUAGACUAUAUGGUGAAAGGUUAAGAUAUGGAGAUUUCAAAGGUUGAUAUCCAGUAUGGUAUCUCUGUACCCUCUUGGUCCUUUUGAUUCUUGCACUGCAAUCUGGAUAUAUUGGUAAGGGCAAAAAGAGGGGGUUUUAAAUCUUGUCUAUAUGGCAUCUCUAAUGAUUUCUCAGAUGGUAUGGGUUUCGUCAGCUUUGGACUUGAUUGUACCCUUCUUAGAUGGGUGUUGGUUUUGUCAGCCAUUGGGUCUUAGAGAGCAGUGAAUUAUUCUUUUCAAGGGGCGGCUUUCUUUGUCCAUUUAUUUCGAGGUUUCCUUAGUUCAGACUUUUAUGAGUUCUGACAUUUUCAACUAAAUUAGUUUUUUUUUUCCUCAUCAAUUGUGUGUUGUAUUCUACUGCCAUUUAUAGUUUUUAAUUUUUAGUCCAGGUGCUUAUUUUCUUCAAUGAUAAGAUUGAUGAGAUUCCUGAUGUUUGAUGGCUUUGGUCUCUUGGACAUCUGACAAGUACUCAGUUUUGGAUCUUUUGAAAGCCUCGUAAAAUGGUCCACUCUUUUGGUGUUCUUGCUGCUUAUCUUCUCUGCUUCCUUUUUCUUGUACUACGCUAGAUUGAUUUUUUUUGUUGGAAUGGAUGUAUGCUGACAGUUGAGAGAAAUAAGACCUGUGGAAGAUUUUGAAGGUUUGGUCCUGUGUGCAUUUCUGUGCACCCUGUUUCUUGGCCAUGUUGGUGCUUGCACUACAAUCUGGAUAUUAUCAGGCUGCGAAAGAAGGCGGUGCUCAAUCUUGUCUGGCAUUUCUAGUGUUAGGUGGUACGGGUUUCACCUGAUUUGCACUUAAAGACUGUUCCAUUCUUUCUGUGCUUGCAGCCGCUGGGUCUUUACAGAACCAUAGAUUCUUCUUUUCAUGGAGCGGCUUGGUCUGUCAAUUUGUGUUGAGGUUUUUUGGUUGAUAGUUCUAAUGAUUAUUGAGAUCUUCAACUCAGUUUUCUUCCCUAAUCAUAAUGGUUCCUUUCUCUGUUGUCAACACUGCUUCACUGGUGUGUAUGUUGUUGCCAUAUUUGUUUUUUAUUGAUCCAGAUGUUUAUGUUCUUUGGUGAUCCAACUGAUGAGAUCUCCAUGGUUAUGGACAACACAUUAUAGGUGUAUUCAAACUCAAUCAUGGAUCUUUUGAUGGCCCAGUAAUGCAAUCAUCCACUUUUUGUGUUCUCGCUACUUACCUUCUCUGAUUUCGUUUAGCCUACCAGUUGAUUUAUUUUGGUUGGAUGAAUGUUUAUAGGCCACAUGGUGAUAGUAAGAUGAUAAGGUUUGGAAAUUUUGAAGUUUGGUUUUGGUGUGCAUCGCCGUGGACCAUGUUUCUUGCCAUUUUGGUGCUUGCACUGCAAUCUGGAUAUUGGAUAUCACCAGGCAUCAAGAGAAGGGUUUGGCAUCUCUAGUGAUCUCUCCUCUGUGGUAUGGGUUUCCACUUACCUGUUACGUUCUUUUGUGUGGUGUUCUGCAGCCAUAUGAAGUUUCAGUCUAGAUGCUUAUUUUCUUGGAUGAUCCAAAUGAUGAGAUUCCUGACUGUUAUGGACACCUGUGAAGUACCCAAACUCAAUUUCAGAUCUUCUUAUGGCCCUAAGAGCUCCUCUACUUGUGUUCUUGCUACUUAUCUUCUCUGCUUCUAUUUUCUUAUGUUUGUCAUGCCACUUUGUUUUGUUUGUAUGGAUGCAUGUUCGUAGACCACAUGGUGACCGUGAGAAGAUCAGAUUUGGUAAUGUUGAAGUUUGGUUUCAGUGUGUGGUCCUUUCCCUUGAGCAACCUGUUUCUUUGCCAUUUUGGUGCUUGUGCUUGCACUGCAAUAUGGAUGUCACCAGGCACUGGCAAGGGAGUUGUGGAAUCUGUGUCUGGCAUCUCUAGUGAUCUCUCCUGUGUGGCAUGGGUUUCGCAGCUUGCACUUUAACUGUUCCCUUCUUUUUGUGCUUGCUGUCAUUGGGUCUUUCAAGAUCAGUGAAGUCUUCCUUUCAUGGAGCAGCCUCGUUUGUCUAAGCCUUGAAGUUUCCUUAGUUUAGGCUUUGUAUUAGUAAAUAGCUCUUCAAUUUAGUUUUCUUCCCUGGUCAUACAGAUACCCUUGUCUCGUUGUCAGAAGUGCUGUUAAACGAAAGUUUUCAACUAUGAUUACUUUUGCACGAGUGCAUUUUCAGCUUUUACUCCAGAUGCUUAUGUUUUGCGAUGAUCCAACUGAUGAGAUCUGUUAUGGGUGUGGAUAUCUGGUAAGUACUCUCUCAGUUCUGGAUCACUUUAUAGCCCCGUGAUGUGCUCAUCUACCCUUUGUGUUCUUGCUGCUUAUAUUCUCUGCUUCCAUUUUUCUUUUUUCUCAUCACACCAGUUUGUGUUUCGUCAGUUGGAAAGAUGUUUAUACCACAAAGUGAACAGUAUUGGAGUAAUAGAUUUGGAAAUUUAAAAGUUUAGUGUUCAGUAAGCUGGUCGCUUAGGUGCUUGCACUGCAAUCUGGAUAUCGUUAGGGCUUCGAGAAAAAAGGGGUUUCUAAAUAUUGUCUACGUCAUUUCUAGGGAUUUCACAAGCGGUUUGGAUUUUGCCAGCUUUGCACUUAACUGUUCCUUCUUUCUGUGCUUGCAGUUGUGGUCUUACAGAUCUUCGAAGUGCUGCUCUUCUAGUUAUUAGUUUAACUGAAAAUUUUACAUGUCAGUGGUGGAUAUAGUACAUGGUCAUUUUUAUUCAAUUUCUGGUUCAUUUGUUGGGUGCAGUAUCUGCAGCUGUAAACACUACUAUUUUCAGACCAACUGUUGCUAGGUAGUGUUUGGCUGAUAAUAAGUCUAUUCAUGAGAUGCAACACUGGAUGCAAGAGUAUCCAAUACAAUGCGACUUACAGUGGGAGUGCAACAGGUUCCUCAGGAAUGUAUAUAAAAUGACGUGCUCAAAUUGUAACAUUUUGAUUAUUCUUUAGCUGAAGUGGUUAGUGAAGUUGUUUCUUUUCUUGCUUCCGCCAGGAAGUGCAUUCAUAUAGUGUUUCAAGCAAAAAUUAAUGGGAAUUUGAGAAUGACGUGAUACCAUACGUCGGGCUACUCUAAUCAAUAUCCAUGCUGUCACGGGAGGGGGCAUACUGUAAGCAGUAUCUGUAGUUUGUUCUGAAAAUUUGGUCAAUUUAGUAGGUUGCAUUUCAUAUUAGAGGUAUAGAUGAAGGUGAAAUCUCUUCAUCGCUUGAGAUAGGUACUUAGCAUUUUGUUUGAGCAUGUUGCUUAUGAUGCCCCUUUAGCCUUUUUAUCUAUUGCGUUAUUAGAGUGCUAUAGAUAUUAAGAUUUUACAGGUCUAAUUCAUCAAAGUAGGUUGUUUUGGGUGGAUCCGUAUACGGAGAGAAUGUCUAAUACAUAACAUGACGUAUUACAAAAAGAGGAUUUUGUAGGUGCAACAAGUGUUAUCUUUGUGAAUAUUCGCAUAAACCAUCAUGCCUGGCUUUCUCGGAAGUUUUGUCUUGUCUGCUGGGACUGGACUUACAUGUGGGGGAUUGAUGUAUCAGUGUUAGUGAAGCUUGGCCAAGUAUCACGGUAGUAGAGCCAUAGGGCGCUAUAAGAGCUCAACUGCACUCCGCUCAUUUCUGAAUUGUCCUCGACACGUGGAACUCAUUAACUUGGUGUGGUAACUUCACAUUUUUAAGCUUUAGGGAAUUGACGACAAUAUCAAUCAGAUUAGGAAGAUCACCCGCCUCCCCUGCAUUAUGUGGUACGGGAAAUGAAUAGAAAAUGUUUUGAUUGGGGAAAGCCAAACCAGUAUCUUUUGUGACAUACAAACGUAUUUACAACUUGUACUUCUGUUGUUGGGGCGAUAUGUUGGAGGCAGUUCUCUUGUAUCUUUGCAGUGCCAAGGUACCAAGUCUUUUCCGAAUGACUCGGUGGUGGAUGUGCAGGAGUACUUCAGUACAAAAUAGUGUACUCGCCCGGCUGACUGACCAUGGCAUAUAGGCGACCCUGUGUUAAAUCCCUCUGCCAGAUAUGGUUCACUGGUAUAAAAAUAGAGAUGAAGAGGUCAAAAGAUAAUUGUAUCGAAAUUGUAGCAGAUUAAAUACAUGAACUACAAUCGACUUAAACGGUUGGAAAUUAUUCCAGACAUGCUUCAACAUUGGGUUAUAAUAAAAUAGUAACAUGAGAUGAACAAAAUAAUGUAUAGCCUCUCAAGCUAGAGGCAUGGUGUAACAAUGCUUAACGUGGGGAAGGUAUAUACAAGUUGAUUACAAGCAUGAGUAAUAUAAAUUCGAUGAGCUUGAACUUGGUCACAGAUAUACAAAAUAUAUAGCAACAUGUGUUUUUAUUUACCUUUACCUGUGUUUAGUGUCUUGCUUGUUGAAUACCAUAUUGUUUGAUACUCACUCUUUGCUAUCUACACUU